Molecule: non-coding RNA, 26 nt
Filed under: Homo sapiens (human)
Lineage: Eukaryota; Metazoa; Chordata; Mammalia; Primates; Hominidae
Source: RNAcentral
UCGGAACCACUGAGAUCGGUCCUUGA